UACGUAGGGGGCAAGCGUUGUCCGGAAUCAUUGGGCGUAAAGAGCGUGUAGGCGGCUUGGUAGGUCUCGCGUCAAAACCUGAGGCUCAACCUCAGUUCGCGUGGGAAACCACCUAGCUAGAGUCCGGAAGAGGAGAACGGAAUUCCCAGUGUAGCGGUGAAAUGCGCAGAUAUUGGGAAGAACACCAGUGGCGAAGGCGGUUCUCUGGGACGGUACUGACGCUGAGACGCGAAAGCGUGGGGAGCGAACAGG
RNAcentral lists this ribosomal RNA (252 nucleotides) under uncultured bacterium. RNAcentral's name for it is "partial 16S ribosomal RNA". It matches the Rfam family "Bacterial small subunit ribosomal RNA", at positions 524 to 776 of the family's 1533-position model. The record is from RNAcentral.